Molecule: ribosomal RNA, 406 nt
Filed under: uncultured bacterium
Lineage: Bacteria
Description: partial 16S ribosomal RNA
Rfam family: Bacterial small subunit ribosomal RNA
Source: RNAcentral
AUUGAACGCUGGCGGCAGGCCUAACACAUGCAAGUCGAACGCGUGGGGGCCGGGUGCGUAAUGUCUGGGAACCUGCCCGAUGGAGGGGGAUCACUACUGGAAACGGUCGCUAAUACGACAUACCAUCGGAUAGUCCCACAUAGGAUUAGAUAGUCGGUGGGGUAACGGGUCACCUAGGCGACGAUCCCUAGCUGGUCUGUGAGGAUGACCAGCGACACUGGAACGGAGACACGGUCGAGACUCCUACGGGAGGCAGCAGUGGGGAAUAUUGCACAAUGGGCGCAAGCCUGAUGCAGCCAUGCCGCGUGUAUGAAGAAGGCCUUCGGGUUGUAAAGUACUUUCAGCGAGGAGGCGUUACUCGCAGAAGAAGCACCGGCUAACUCCGUGCCAGCAGCCGCGGUAAUUC